Molecule: ribosomal RNA, 327 nt
Filed under: uncultured eukaryote
Lineage: Eukaryota
Description: partial 18S ribosomal RNA
Rfam family: Eukaryotic small subunit ribosomal RNA
Source: RNAcentral
CCCUUAGAUGUUCUGGGCCGCACACGCGCUACACUGAAGGAGGCAGCGUGUACUCCUGGAUCGAAAGAUUUGGGUAACCCGCGAAUCUCCUUCGUGCUAGGGAUUGAGGUUUGCAAUUAUCCUUCAUGGACGAGGAAUUCCCAGUAAGUGCAAGUCAUAAGCUUGCGCUGACUACGUCCCUGCCCUUUGUACACACCGCCCGUCGCUACUACCGAUUGAAUGAUUUAGUGAGGACUUCGGACUGGGACCGAUGCGGCUUUCGGGCUGCGUCGGUAUUCUGGAAAGAUGUCCAAACUGUAUCAUUUAGAGGAAGUAAAAGUCGUANCA